GAUGAACGCUGGCGGCGUGCCUAAUACAUGCAAGUCGAGCGAACAGACGAGGAGCUUGCUUCUCUGACGUUAGCGGCGGACGGGUGAGUAACACGUGGAUAACCUACCUAUAAGACUGGGAUAACUUCGGGAAACCGGAGCUCAUACCGGAUAAUAUAUUGAACCGCAUGGUUCAAUAGUGAAAGACGGUUUUGCUGUCACUUAUAGAUGGAUCCGCGCCGCAUUAGCUAGUUGGUAAGGUAACGGCUUACCAAGGCAACGAUGCGUAGCCGACCUGAGAGGGUGAUCGGCCACACUGGAACUGAGACACGGUCCAGACUCCUACGGGAGGCAGCAGUAGGGAAUCUUCCGCAAUGGGCGAAAGCCUGACGGAGCAACGCCGCGUGAGUGAUGAAGGUCUUCGGAUCGUAAAACUCUGUUAUUAGGGAAGAACAAAUGUGUAAGUAACUAUGCACGUCUUGACGGUACCAAAUCAGAAAGCCACGGCUAACUACGUG
RNAcentral lists this ribosomal RNA (497 nucleotides) under uncultured bacterium. RNAcentral's name for it is "partial 16S ribosomal RNA". It matches the Rfam family "Bacterial small subunit ribosomal RNA", at positions 28 to 507 of the family's 1533-position model. The record is from RNAcentral.